Non-coding RNA from Acanthosepion pharaonis, 113 nucleotides. The record is from the annotation of a GenBank genome assembly. Lineage: Eukaryota; Metazoa; Mollusca; Cephalopoda; Sepiida; Sepiidae.
UUACAGCCAUAUCAUGUUGAAACACCGGUUCUCAUAUGAUCACCCAAGUUAAGCAAUGUUGAGCCUGGUCAGUACCUAGAUGAGUGAUCACUUGGGAAUACCAGGUGUUGUAA